GACGAACGCUGGCGGCGUGCUUAACACAUGCAAGUCGAACGCUGAUGACCUGGCUUUUGUUGGGUUGGAUGAGUGGCGAACGGGUGAGUAACACGUGAGUAACCUGCCCUCUUCUUUGGGAUAACGCCCGGAAACGGGUGCUAAUACUGGAUAUUCACUGGCCUUCGCAUGGGGUUGGUGGAAAGGUUUGUUCUGGUGGGGAGUGGGCUCGCGGCCUAUCAGCUUGUUGGUGGGGUGAUGGCCUACCAAGGC
This 252-nucleotide ribosomal RNA is filed under the name uncultured bacterium. Its description in RNAcentral is "partial 16S ribosomal RNA". It matches the Rfam family "Bacterial small subunit ribosomal RNA", at positions 28 to 274 of the family's 1533-position model. The record is from RNAcentral.